AAUAGAGAAAUAUUUGAAAUAAGCAGUGAGCUUGUUUAGAAGCUGAACCUUGUGGAGUUGUUUAAUUGAAUCCCUAAACUCGGAAUAAUGCCUCAAGAGAAUAAAAACGGCAUUCACUGAAUGAAUAAAGAAAGAAGUAAGAUGUUUGGUUUAACAGGUCCUACAUCUGUGACUGUUGAGAAGAGAUCCCAGUAAAAAACACAUGCUUCUCUUACUCAUAAACAGCUAGGAUUGAACGUAAGGGAUGAAUUACAUUGAUCAUGUUUCCUGAUAUGGAGAAGCAGGAGACCUCUACAGCUCUUUAGCUCUCCCUGUCCAUCUGUCAAUAAUUCAAGUGACGCACAACAGAAGACAAAACAGAUGAUAAAGAUGCUAAGUAACAAAGGGGAGAGAUGUUGAACCAGCAAGCAAGUAGCAUCCCAUACCAGGCUGAUGUGAUCUGACUAGCACAGAGGGGAUUUUUUCUGGAAGGAAAGCGAAAAGGUACCUUCAUGAAGAGUCGUUGGGGUCAGUACUGACAUACGAAACUUAUAAGCAAACAUGAAGGAUGCCGUUGUCUGACUCAGAGGACUGAGAAUGGAAGCUCGUUUCGAUGACAAGGCUAAUGCAUGGCAGCCUACUUAACAUUUGUUUAUUUUUCUAUUUGUUUAUUCAAAU
This is a long non-coding RNA of Xenopus laevis (African clawed frog), 657 nucleotides long. RefSeq lists it as uncharacterized. Lineage: Eukaryota; Metazoa; Chordata; Amphibia; Anura; Pipidae. The record is from RefSeq and is a predicted model, not a curated record. The transcript has 3 exons.